RNAcentral lists this ribosomal RNA (383 nucleotides) under uncultured bacterium. RNAcentral describes it as "bacterial SSU rRNA". It matches the Rfam family "Bacterial small subunit ribosomal RNA", at positions 30 to 414 of the family's 1533-position model. The record is from RNAcentral.
AUUGAACGCUGGCGGCAGGCUUAACACAUGCAAGUCGAGCGGAGAUGAGGUGCUUGCACCUUAUCUUAGCGGCGGACGGGUGAGUAAUGCUUAGGAAUCUGCCAUUUAGUGGGGACAACAUUCCGAAAGGAAUGCUAAUACCGCAUACGUCCUACGGGAGAAAGCAGGGAGUCUUCGGACCUUGCGCUAAAUGAUGAGCCUAAGUCGGAUUAGCUAGUUGGUGGGGUAAAGGCCUACCAAGGCGACGAUCUGUAGCGGGUCUGAGAGGAUGAUCCGCCACACUGGGACUGAGACACGGCCCAGACUCCUACGGGAGGCAGCAGUGGGGAAUAUUGGACAAUGGGCGGAAGCCUGAUCCAGCCAUGCCGCGUGUGGGAAGAAGG